CCUACGGGAGGCAGCAGUGGGGAAUAUUGCACAAUGGGCGCAAGCCUGAUGCAGCCAUGCCGCGUGUGUGAAGAAGGCCUUCGGGUUGUAAAGCACUUUCAGCGGGGAGGAAGGCGGUGAGGUUAAUAACCUCAUCGAUUGACGUUACCCGCAGAAGAAGCACCGGCUAACUCCGUGCCAGCAGCCGCGGUAAUACGGAGGGUGCAAGCGCUAAUCGGAAUUACUGGGCGUAAAGCGCACGCAGGCGGUCUGUCAAGUCGGAUGUGAAAUCCCCGGGCUCAACCUGGGAACUGCAUUCGAAACUGGCAGGCUAGGGUCUUGUAGAGGGGGGUAGAAUUCCAGGUGUAGCGGUGAAAUGCGUAGAGAUCUGGAGGAAUACCGGUGGCGAAGGCGGCCCCCUGGACAAAGACUGACGCUCAGGUGCGAAAGCGUGGGGAGCAAACAGGAUUAGAUACCCGUGUAGUC
RNAcentral lists this ribosomal RNA (465 nucleotides) under uncultured Klebsiella sp. RNAcentral's name for it is "bacterial SSU rRNA". It matches the Rfam family "Bacterial small subunit ribosomal RNA", at positions 338 to 795 of the family's 1533-position model. Lineage: Bacteria; Pseudomonadati; Pseudomonadota; Gammaproteobacteria; Enterobacterales; Enterobacteriaceae. The record is from RNAcentral.